This 274-nucleotide ribosomal RNA is filed under the name uncultured bacterium. RNAcentral's name for it is "partial 16S ribosomal RNA". It matches the Rfam family "Bacterial small subunit ribosomal RNA", at positions 523 to 796 of the family's 1533-position model. The record is from RNAcentral.
AUACGGAGGGUGCAAGCGUUACGCGGAAUCACUGGGCGUAAAGCGCGCGCAGGCGGCUUGAUAAGUUGGAUGUGAAAGCCUACGGCUCAACCGUAGAACUGCAUCCAAAACUGUCAGGCUAGAGUGUGGGAGAGGAAGAUGGAAUUAGUUGUGUAGGGGUAAAAUCCGUAGAGAUAACUAGGAAUACCAAAAGCGAAGGCGAUCUUCUGGAACAGUACUGACGCUGAGGCGCGAAAGCGUGGGGAGCAAACAGGAUUAGAAACCCUAGUAGUCC